AUUGACCUCGGAUCAGGUAGGGAUACCCGCUGAACUUAAGCAUACCAGAAGCAAACCCCACAAAUUGACCUCGGAUCAGGUAGGGAUACCCGCUGAACUUAAGCAU
Molecule: ribosomal RNA, 106 nt
Filed under: [Sigarispora] rosicola
Lineage: Eukaryota; Fungi; Ascomycota; Dothideomycetes; Pleosporales; Lophiostomataceae
Description: Sigarispora rosicola partial 28S ribosomal RNA
Source: RNAcentral